Molecule: ribosomal RNA, 580 nt
Filed under: Methylobacterium sp. B22
Lineage: Bacteria; Pseudomonadati; Pseudomonadota; Alphaproteobacteria; Hyphomicrobiales; Methylobacteriaceae
Description: bacterial SSU rRNA
Rfam family: Bacterial small subunit ribosomal RNA
Source: RNAcentral
CGGCAGGCUUAACACAUGCAAGUCGAGCGGACCUUUCGGGGUCAGCGGCGGACGGGUGAGUAACGCGUGGGAACGUGCCUUCCGGUUCGGAAUAACCCUGGGAAACUAGGGCUAAUACCGGAUACGCCCUUAUGGGGAAAGGUUUACUGCCGGAAGAUCGGCCCGCGUCUGAUUAGCUAGUUGGUGGGGUAACGGCCUACCAAGGCGACGAUCAGUAGCUGGUCUGAGAGGAUGAUCAGCCACACUGGGACUGAGACACGGCCCAGACUCCUACGGGAGGCAGCAGUGGGGAAUAUUGGACAAUGGGCGCAAGCCUGAUCCAGCCAUGCCGCGUGAGUGAUGAAGGCCUUAGGGUUGUAAAGCUCUUUUAUCCGGGACGAUAAUGACGGUACCGGAGGAAUAAGCCCCGGCUAACUUCGUGCCAGCAGCCGCGGUAAUACGAAGGGGGCUAGCGUUGCUCGGAAUCACUGGGCGUAAAGGGCGCGUAGGCGGCGUUUUAAGUCGGGGGUGAAAGCCUGUGGCUCAACCACAGAAUGGCCUUCGAUACUGGGACGCUUGAGUAUGGUAGAGGUUGGUGGAA